RNAcentral lists this long non-coding RNA (199 nucleotides) under Capsicum annuum. RNAcentral describes it as "long non-coding RNA (CANN_LNC004528)". Lineage: Eukaryota; Viridiplantae; Streptophyta; Magnoliopsida; Solanales; Solanaceae. The record is from RNAcentral.
GGGGAUGAUAAUUGCGAAGGGGCCUAAAGUUGGAAGAUUGUUUCCUAUACAAUUUUCCAUUCCUCCUGUUAUAUCUUUUGCUUGUACUUCUACGGCUAAUAAGACUGAGCUUUGGCAUAAGCGUCUAGGACAUCCAAAUUCUGUUGUGUUGUCUCAUUUAUCAAAUUCUGGUUUAUUAGGAAGUAAAAAUCAAUUUUCC